GUGGGGAAACGUGGGGAGGAGGUUUAUUUUUCACGCUGUUCGCCAUGAGAAGGUGAGAAAAGCACACUUUGGUUAAACAUGGUCAUGCAGAAAAUGAAGGCGGACUCUGCAGAGGUCUUGAAUUACUCGUAAACGAGCAGAGAGCCGUGAUUGAUCAGGUGUUUUCCUGCAGAUCUCAUCGUCUCCCAGUUGUCUUCAGUUUCAAAUGUUUCUGUAAUUGCUGCUAAUAAAUAAAACUAAUUAAAACUGUU
Long non-coding RNA from Fundulus heteroclitus (mummichog), 251 nucleotides. RefSeq lists it as uncharacterized. The record is from RefSeq and is a predicted model, not a curated record. The transcript has 4 exons. NCBI's taxonomy places the organism in Eukaryota, Metazoa, Chordata, Actinopteri, Cyprinodontiformes, Fundulidae.